Molecule: long non-coding RNA, 502 nt
Filed under: Dermacentor andersoni
Lineage: Eukaryota; Metazoa; Arthropoda; Arachnida; Ixodida; Ixodidae
Description: uncharacterized LOC126517419
Source: RNAcentral
ACAGCCUUGCAUACGUGGUAGCUGACGCCAUUAGGGUGACGUCACUGCUUUUACGGUGGCUGGUUGGCGCUCGGUUGCUGACGUUAUCGAUUCCGGUUUUGGGAACUUGGGGCAUCUGAUCGACGAGGGCGCACAGAAAGGCAGCCUAUACACUGACGCGUUCAACGUUUCGUCACAGGCACACGGGAGAAAUCGAAGUGACAGAGGCGUAAUCAUGCUUUGUGCUUACAUUGCCGCUACAUUCCUUUGGGGAUGGUUUUGCGGAAAUCAUUGUAAGCUGCCGCUACCAAACAAAGUUAUUAUCAAGGACGGAACGACUUACAAUUCUACUGAUCCCUGUGUGCAGUACCGAUGCCACAAAGGAGCCUUCACGACAACAGAGUGCCUAGGAGCGAAAAUCGGCAAUUGCAAAAUACCGGCAACAGUCAUAAGGCUUCCUUAUCCAUCUUGCUGCGGUCAGAUGAUUUGUACGUGACAAUAAUUAAAUCAAGAUUGAAACUUG